UGGGGUGGGGUGGGGUGGGGUGGGGUGGGGGCGGGCCCGAGGGAGCGCACCUCGGGGAGACACCCUCCUCUCCUGCCGGCCUGCGGGACACGGCCCUCCCCCACCUCCCCUGCUCGGCCGUCGCAGGUGUGGGCGCCUCCGGGCCCUGGCUAGCCCGUUCAGCUUGCAGCUCCUGCAACCGCCAGAGUUACCCGUCUGUUCUGAUGCCACCGCGAGAUGGUCCCCAAGCUCCCAGAGAGUCCCCGUUGAAAGGAUUCCGCAGCGCUGCCUCUAUUAUUAUACCGUAAAUCUUUUUAAAUUCUGGAACUAAUUAUAUAGAGGAUAUGUCUCAAUUUGUUCUGCAUUAAUGCCACAGUGGGGAUGGAGGCCGGGCCGUGGCCAGAGCAGAUACGUAGGCCCAUGAAAUUGAUGAGCUGAGAGUUGCUCCCAGUCCUAAGCGCACCAUCUGGAAUUCCAGUCUGAGGUUACAAUUAGAACUCCUGACCCCAGAUUCAACUUUGCAAACAACAGGGGAAAAAAUGGGAAAAAGAAAAAAAAAAAACCGAGACGGAAGAAAAAAAAAACAACAACCCAACAAUCCCAACUUAUAUUCUGCACCUCUAAAAAAAAAAAAAAAAAAAAAAAAAAAAAAAUUCCCCACACUAUCUUAAAAUCUUUCCAUCUUAGACGAUUCUUUCCAAGUAUUCUUUUGAGUUUUCUUUAACCUAUAAAAGAUAAUGGAAUAUCUUUUAUAGAUUGGAUUUUAUCUUAUCCCUUUCCCUCUCCCGAUUGCACUCAGUUUAAUAGUUGUCAGUUUUUUCUCACAGUGUUUUUUUGUUACGUGUUGGAUUUAAUUAUAUGGAACCAAAAUAUUCCUCAGGAAAUUAGCUUGCUAAAUAUUCUGUCAUUUUGUGAUUCUGCUUUUGAGAAACAGCUUAAUUACAGAAAUCUAUCUGGAUCUAGGAACUUUUUUUUUUUUUUUUAGUGUUGCUUCAGCUUAACUGUAAUCAGAGAUUUUAUUUGUGUUGUAAUUUUAUUUGUGUUCUAAAUCGGUUAGGCCAAUUUCUUCCUUCUUUCUUUAGUAACACACUGCUUUAUUUUCCUCUCACUUUGACCCUCUGAAGAAAACGAAGGACCAGGCAGUACUGGGGAAUCUGUUAAAUUUAUUAGCAUAAAUGCUUAGACAAAACGAGAUAUAAAUCAUUCAGAUGUAUUAAGCCAUAAAGUAUCCCAAUGAAGUCAGUGCCUCGCAAGGGUCCUGGUGUAUAAAUGUUCAUAUAAAACAAGGUAUCGGUAUUAUCUUUCAAACUGAAUAUACGUUGUAAAAAUAU
RNAcentral lists this long non-coding RNA (1310 nucleotides) under Canis lupus dingo (dingo). RNAcentral describes it as "lncRNA (ENSCAFG00020002600.1)". The stretch from base 215 to 508 matches the Rfam family "WT1 antisense RNA conserved region 7". The record is from RNAcentral. Lineage: Eukaryota; Metazoa; Chordata; Mammalia; Carnivora; Canidae.